GUGGGGAAUAUUGGACAAUGGGCGAAAGCCUGAUCCAGCCAUGCCGCGUGUGUGAAGAAGGUCUUCGGAUUGUAAAGCACUUUAAGUUGGGAGGAAGGGCAGUAAGUUAAUACCUUGCUGUUUUGACGUUACCAACAGAAUAAGCACCGGCUAACUUCGUGCCAGCAGCCGCGGUAAUACGAAGGGUGCAAGCGUUAAUCGGAAUUACUGGGCGUAAAGCGCGCGUAGGUGGUUUUGUAAGUUGGAGGUGAAAUCCCCGGGCUCAACCUGGGAACUGCCUCCAAAACUGCAUGACUAGAGUACGGUAGAGGGUAGUGGAAUUUCCUGUGUAGCGGUGAAAUGCGUAGAUAUAGGAAGGAACACCAGUGGCGAAGGCGACUACCUGGACUGAUACAGACACUGAGGUGCGAAAGCGUGGGGAGCAAACAGGAUUAGAUACCCCGGUAGUCC
RNAcentral lists this ribosomal RNA (450 nucleotides) under uncultured bacterium. RNAcentral describes it as "partial 16S ribosomal RNA". It matches the Rfam family "Bacterial small subunit ribosomal RNA", at positions 354 to 796 of the family's 1533-position model. The record is from RNAcentral.